Molecule: ribosomal RNA, 274 nt
Filed under: uncultured bacterium
Lineage: Bacteria
Description: partial 16S ribosomal RNA
Rfam family: Bacterial small subunit ribosomal RNA
Source: RNAcentral
CUACGAAAGGUGCAAGCGUUGUUCGGAUUUACUGGGCGUAAAGAGAGUGUAGGUUGUUUAUUAAGUCGGAUGUGAAAUCCCGGGGCUCAACCUCGGAACUGCAUUCGAUACUGGUAGACUAGAGUUCGAGAGGGGUAAGCGGAAUUCCGUGUGUAGCAGUGAAAUGCGUAGAUAUACGGAGGAACACCUGAGGCGAAGGCGGCUUACUGGACCGAUACUGACACUGAGACUCGAAAGCGUGGGUAGCAAACAGGAUUAGAAACCCUAGUAGUCC